AAUGAACCGGCGAGUUACGAUUUGAUGCAAGGUUAAGCAGUAAAUGUGGAGCCGUAGCGAAAGCGAGUCUGAAUAGGGCGUUUAGUAUUUGGUCGUAGACCCGAAACCAGGUGAUCUACCCUUGGUCAGGUUGAAGUUCAGGUAACACUGAAUGGAGGACCGAACCGACUUACGUUGAAAAGUGAGCGGAUGAACUGAGGGUAGCGGAGAAAUUCCAAUCGAACCUGGAGAUAGCUGGUUCUCUCCGAAAUAGCUUUAGGGCUAGCCUCAAGUGAUGAUUAUUGGAGGUAGAGCACUGUUUGGACGAGGGGCCCCUCUCGGGUUACCGAAUUCAGACAAACUCCGAAUGCCAAUUAAUUUAACUUGGGAGUCAGAACAUGGGUGAUAAGGUCCGUGUUCGAAAGGGAAACAGCCCAGACCACCAGCUAAGGUCCCAAAAUAUAUGUUAAGUGGAAAAGGAUGUGGCGUUGCCCAGACAACUAGGAUGUUGGCUUAGAAGCAGCCAUCAUUUAAAGAGUGCGUAAUAGCUCACUAGUCGAGUGACACUGCGCCGAAAAUGUACCGGGGCUAAACAUAUUACCGAAGCUGUGGAUUGUCCUUUGGACAAUGGUAGGAGAGCGUUCUAAGGGCGUUGAAGCAUGAUCGUAAGGACAUGUGGAGCGCUUAGAAGUGAGAAUGCCGGUGUGAGUAGCGAAAGACGGGUGA
RNAcentral lists this ribosomal RNA (705 nucleotides) under Staphylococcus aureus. Its description in RNAcentral is "partial 23S ribosomal RNA". It matches the Rfam family "Bacterial large subunit ribosomal RNA", at positions 614 to 1324 of the family's 2925-position model. The record is from RNAcentral. Lineage: Bacteria; Bacillati; Bacillota; Bacilli; Caryophanales; Staphylococcaceae.